This 362-nucleotide unclassified non-coding RNA is filed under the name fungal sp. RNAcentral describes it as "partial internal transcribed spacer region". The stretch from base 1 to 46 matches the Rfam family "Eukaryotic small subunit ribosomal RNA", at positions 1786 to 1831 of the family's 1831-position model. The record is from RNAcentral. Lineage: Eukaryota; Fungi.
AAGUCGUAACAAGGUUUCCGUAGGUGAACCUGCGGAAGGAUCAUUAUUGAAUACUCUCGAUGGGUUGUAGCUGGUUCUUCGGAGCAUGUGCACGCCUGUCUUGACUUUAUUCAUCCACCUGUGCACCUUUUGUAGUCUUGGGGGUUGAGAAGCAGUCAAACUAUCGGACGGCCACUGGCUGUUCUGGAUGUGAGGAAUGCUGAGUGCGUAAGCAUAUGCAGCUCUUCUCAAAGCGAUUUGCAAACCUCUCCUUCAAGUACUAUGUAUUCAUAUACCACAUAGUAUGUCGUAGAAUGUGAUCAUUGGGCCUAUGUGCCUAUAAUAAUUAUAUACAACUUUCAGCAACGGAUCUCUUGGCUCUC